Molecule: long non-coding RNA, 282 nt
Organism: Lagopus muta (rock ptarmigan)
Lineage: Eukaryota; Metazoa; Chordata; Aves; Galliformes; Phasianidae
Exons: 3
Source: RefSeq, a predicted model, not a curated record
ACUGUAAGCAGAGCAAAAAAGUUAAAAAAUGAUAAAUAAAAUUAAAAAGUAAAAUAAACAGGUUAGUGUCACAUCUUGUCCAGAAGGGGAAGGAAGAGGUGACCAGAUUCCUUUACACUUAGUGCGGUCCCUGUGUCUCCUGUGUGGUUGCUGCUGAUGUGUGAAAUUCAGGUCACUUGCCAGAUGGUGUUGUUAGCCACCUCUGGAGUGUCUGCCUCUAGGAAGCUUAGAGCAUCUCCUUCCAGGAAGAAGGAUGGAAGGAUGGGCUUUCACCUAUUUUUC